Arachis ipaensis is the source of this 404-nucleotide non-coding RNA. Lineage: Eukaryota; Viridiplantae; Streptophyta; Magnoliopsida; Fabales; Fabaceae. The record is from RefSeq and is a predicted model, not a curated record.
AGGUUGAAAUUUCAUAAAAUGGAUUGCAUAACUAAUGAUUGGUUUCAUUUCUUUUUUCUCAGAGAGGAUCCAUUUUAGAGAAACUUACAAAGGAGAACUUACGGGACUGGGGGCUUUUGCAAGACUUCUAUCGUUUUGUGAAGCUCAGAGACAGGUAGGAGAGACAUACCUAAAUGAAAAGAGUUCAAGAUCUCAUCAAAUUAUCAGAUUGACAAUAGAAAGUUCUGCCAAGGAAUUCCUUGGGCAAAGGUAACUCAGCCACCCUAGCUGCCAGCGUGGUAUGCUUAUAAAUUCCUUGUUGUGCAUGUUAAUUACCUUGACUUUUAUUCCAUUGCUUUACUUUCAGUUUUCUCCUUCUAAUAUAUACCAUAUUUCCUCCUAUUUUUGUAUGAACGGCAUGCAAA